CCAAUAGCGUAUAUUAAAGUUGUUGCAGUUAAAAAGCUCGUAGUUGAAUUUUGGGUCUGGCCGGGCGGUCCGCCCUCUGGGUGAGCACUGUUCCGACGUCGGGCCUAUCCUUCUGGUGAGUCGGCAUGUCCUUUAUUGGGUGUGUCGGGGAACCAGGACCAUUACCUUGAAAAAAUUAGAGUGUUCAAAGCAGGCGUAUGCUCGGAUACAUUAGCAUGGAAUAAUGAAAUAGGACGCGUGGUGCUAUUUUGUUGGUUUCUAGAACCGCCGUAAUGAUUAAUAGGGAUAGUUGGGGGCAUUAGUAUUCAAUUGUCAGAGGUGAAAUUCUUGGAUUUAUUGAAGACUAACUUCUGCGAAAGCAUUUGACAAGGAUGUUUUCAUUAAUCAAGAACGAAAGUUAGGGGAUCGAAGACGAUAAGAUACCGUCGUAGUCUUAACCAUAAACUAUGCCGACUAGGAAUCGGGCGAUGUUAUUCUCAUGACUCGCCCGGCGCCUUAUG
RNAcentral lists this ribosomal RNA (500 nucleotides) under uncultured Glomeromycotina. RNAcentral's name for it is "partial small subunit ribosomal RNA". It matches the Rfam family "Eukaryotic small subunit ribosomal RNA", at positions 591 to 1092 of the family's 1831-position model. The record is from RNAcentral. Lineage: Eukaryota; Fungi; Glomeromycota.